CUAUGCUACUGUGAUUUUAUUUACUUCAACUGUGGUGUUCCUGUUCUAGUACUGCUAGACCUCAGCUAUUAUUUCUAGUGUUAGAUUAAUAUUCAAGGAUGGUAUCACAGUACAUUACUAAAAUUUUAUACAUAUGAUGAUGAUAUCUAUUACGGUAUUUUAAUGAGAGUGAGUUGUUCAUGUAUAAAAACUUCUUGAUUUCAGGCCCAUUGCACCGAUUUCCUAAACCUGAAUACCCACAUUUGGAAAAGUUUAACUCGUGGAAAAAAGUACUAGAUAAAGCUUUACAAGAGAAAGGCGACAUCUACAUUUAUAACCAAAUUCGAUUUUGCGACAGACAUUUUGAAGAGUGUUACCGUUCAGCCAGUCACCGACUUACUCCAAAUGCAAUACCAACUCUAGAUUUAUCUACAUUACCAGUUGGUCAAACUCUUGAAGGUCCAUCGGGACAUGUCGAGGCAGACAUGUCGAAUUUAUUAAACAUUUCGCAAGAUAAACUUGCUGUCAUUGAGCCAUCCAGCUCUACCCACUAUCAUAGUGAUGUACAGAAUGCAUUACAGACAGCUGAACGCCCUAAAGGUUCUAGGAAAAGAGGGACUUGUCAAUAUUUAAAACGAGUCGUCACCUCCAAAGAGAAGGAGAUAAUAAAGUUAAAACAGAAAGUAUUGAAGCUGAAAAAGAAAUAUAAGGAACAAAAUAACAAGAAACUCUCUGCAAGGAAAAUUUCCACAUCAAAAUCAUUUUGAAAGAGUUAAAUAAAAUGCCUGCAACAAUAAAAAUAUUUACUUCCCUCCAAAUGAAAUGGAAAAAGAAACCACGAGGCAGGCGAUUUACAUUUAACGAAAAAAUCAUGGCAUUGACCAUUUACAAACAGAGUCAGAAAGCUUACAACCUCAUGCGAAAAAUGUUUGUCUUGCCAUCAAAGCGCAGCCUACAAAAAAUGUUGAGUAAAUUUGAACUGAAACCAGGCUUCAAUCCUGAUAUAUUUAAAAUUUAAAAGCUACAGUAGCAAAAUUGCCGGCAGAAAAAGUUGGUCAAUUUACUGUUUGAUGAGGUAUCAUUGGCUCCGGGUGUUUUUUACAACCCUGCCCUAAAACAGAUAACUGGUUUUGAAGAUUUUGGGCACAGACAAACAAAAAAACUCGCAGAUCAUGCCUUGGUCUUUAUGAUCAAGGGUAUAAAAAGCAAAGUGAAACAACCUUUAUGCUUUUCAUUUUGCCAAGGUGCCACGAAAAAGGACGAUUUAAAGAAGCUGAUCAAAACAAUAAUAAAAGAAAUCUCCAAUACUGGAUUGAUAGUUAUUGCCACUAUAUGUGACCAAUCAGCCACAAAUAUUUCUGUGAUAAAAAGUCUUCAAGAAGACACAAAACGCAAAUAUUUACAAGAGGGUAAUGAAUAUAGGACCCAAGCCUUCGAGUUUGAAGACCAAAAGGUCUUCCCAUUAUUUGAUCCUCCACAUCUUUUAAAGGGAAUGAGAAAUAAUUUACUCCAAACAUUUGAAAUUUGUACAAGAUGGGAAAACAAAGUAUGCAAAGUGGGAACAUUUGGAGAUGCUGUUGAAGUUAGAUGUUGGGGAUGAUGAAAUUAGGCUUGUUAAUAAAUUAACAGAAAACCAUGUUAAUAAAGAGAAAAUUCCAAAAAUGAAAGUGAAAUAUGCUGCACAAGUUUUCAGCCAAAGGGUAUCAUCAGCAUUGAGAUUCUUAGCAAAACACAACCUUCUUCCGGCGGAGUGCGAAGAAACUGCUGAUUUUCUACUCAUUAUGGACAAACUAUUUGAUUCUUUCAAUGGACAUUCAUAUACAGGUGAUCCAAAAUUUUCAAGGGGUGUGUAAUGAAUAAUUCUCCUCAUUUUAGAUUAUGGACAG
This is an RNA transcript of Helicoverpa armigera (cotton bollworm), 1865 nucleotides long. RefSeq lists it as uncharacterized. Lineage: Eukaryota; Metazoa; Arthropoda; Insecta; Lepidoptera; Noctuidae. The record is from RefSeq and is a predicted model, not a curated record. The transcript is spliced from 4 exons.